UUCUAGUAUUAUAGCAUCCAUGUUCCAUGUGCAGAUGAAAAGAAUGUGUAUUCUGCAGCUGUGGAGUGAAAUAUCUGUACUCAUCUGUUAUGGCCAUUUGGUCUGUAGUAGUUUCUCUCUGAUGCUUGUUAAUUUUUUUCCAGGUGAUCUCUUCCUGUCGAAGAAAGAUUCAAUGUGUUUGAAUUUCAUUGAAGAGGACUUUCACAUGCUGGUUGAACUUAUCACAAGCAUUGCCUCGCAGAAAAGCUGGGUCCACAGAGGUCCAGAAUGAAUCUCUACUCUCCCUGACUCCAGGAGACAAAAAGAAGAACAUGGAUCUCCAUACAGAAAUGACCUCCAUGAGGUCUGACACUCUCCACCAUUGCAGCAGAGGAGAAAACCUGAGGGAGAAUUCCAGAGGAGCAGUAAUAGCAGUGCUUUAUCUGAAGUCUACAAAACCCAACAAUGCAUUCUUGGAAGACAAGAGCCAUGCUCGGCACAGGGAAGCUGGAGGUCAAAGCUCAUGGGGUGGCCCUCCUUCCAUCAGCUGUGGUGCUGAGACAACCUCUUAGUCUCUAUGGACCCCAGGUUCCUCAUCAGUGAGAUCCAGAACUGAGUCCACAUCCUGAGAACCCAGAACUGAAGGUGCAGAUGAAGGAAGA
Molecule: non-coding RNA, 641 nt
Organism: Oryctolagus cuniculus (rabbit)
Lineage: Eukaryota; Metazoa; Chordata; Mammalia; Lagomorpha; Leporidae
Source: RefSeq, a predicted model, not a curated record